UACGGAGGGGGCAAGCGUUGCCCGGAAUCACUGGGUUUAAAGGGCGCGUAGGCGGCUUGAUAAGUCAGGGGUGAAAGCCCGCAGCUUAACUGCGGAGCUGCCUUUGAUACUGCCGAGCUUGAAAGAGGGUGAGGUCAGCGGAACGUGACAUGUAGCGGUGAAAUGCAUAGAGAUGUCACAGAACACCGGUUGCGAAGGCAGCUGGCUGGACCUAUGUUGACGAUGAGGCGCGAAAGAGUGGGGAGCGAACAGG
Molecule: ribosomal RNA, 253 nt
Filed under: uncultured bacterium
Lineage: Bacteria
Description: partial 16S ribosomal RNA
Rfam family: Bacterial small subunit ribosomal RNA
Source: RNAcentral